RNAcentral lists this ribosomal RNA (468 nucleotides) under uncultured organism. RNAcentral's name for it is "partial 16S ribosomal RNA". It matches the Rfam family "Bacterial small subunit ribosomal RNA", at positions 333 to 797 of the family's 1533-position model. The record is from RNAcentral.
ACACUCCUGCGGGAGGCAGCAGUGAGGAAUAUUGGACAAUGGGUGGAAGCCUGAUCCAGCCAUCCCGCGUGCAGGAAGACGGCCCUAUGGGUUGUAAACUGCUUUUAUCUGGGGAUAAACCUACUUACGUGUAAGUAGCUGAAGGUACCAGAAGAAUAAGCACCGACUAACUCCGUGCCAGCAGCCGCGGUAAUACGGAGGGUGCAAGCGUUAUCCGGAUUUAUUGGGUUUAAAGGGUCCGUAGGCGGACUGAUAAGUCAGUGGUGAAAUCCGACAGCUUAACUGUCGAACUGCCAUUGAUACUGUUAGUCUUGAGUAAGGUUGAAGUGGCUGGAAUAAGUAGUGUAGCGGUGAAAUGCAUAGAUAUUACUUAGAACACCAAUUGCGAAGGCAGGUCACUAAGUCUUAACUGACGCUGAUGGACGAAAGCGUGGGGAGCGAACAGGAUUAGAAACCCGGGUAGUCCCA